ACAAAAGGCGGCCGGGCGAGACGUUGGCCACCCACCCUUUCCGUGUGCCGUGCCCUUCCUUCAUAGGUGGCGCCCGCCAACGGCGCUUGCCCCAGCAGCCUGCGCAGGCUAUCCGGGGGACCUUUGUCUCUGCGUGUCUUCGUGUCUUCACAGACAUCGACGAGUGCGCUUCGAGGCCGUGCCAGAACGGAGCACGCUGCAGCAAUGCCGUGGCCUCAUAUUCCUGCCAGUGUCUCCCCGGCUUCUCCGGAGUGGACUGCGAGAUAGAUAUUGAUGAAUGUGCGUCAAGUCCGUGCUACAACGGAGGGCGCUGCUUGAACGAGGCCAAUCGGUGGAGGUGCGAAUGCUUGCCCGGAUUUCUGGGAGAUCAUUGUGAGACAGAUGUCGACGAGUGUGCCUCGAGCCCGUGCCGGAACGGCGGCCGCUGCGUGGACAGCACCAACGAGUACUCCUGCCGCUGUCCCGCCGGAUACACCGGGACCAAUUGUGAGAUCGGUGAGACGCGAACAGACGACGGCGCAUUGCAAACGGACACAAUCUGAACCCCACAGCCUCAACGCUGACCCACAGCCUCAACGCUGACCCAUAGCCUCAA
Petromyzon marinus (sea lamprey) is the source of this 595-nucleotide non-coding RNA. NCBI's taxonomy places the organism in Eukaryota, Metazoa, Chordata, Hyperoartia, Petromyzontiformes, Petromyzontidae. The record is from RefSeq and is a predicted model, not a curated record.